GAGUUUGAUCCUGGCUCAGAUUGAAGGCUGGCGGCAGGCCUAACACAUGCAAGUCGAGCGGAUGAGGGGAGCUUGCUUCCCGAUUCAGCGGCGGACGGGUGAGUAAUGCCUAGGAAUCUGCCCGAUAGUGGGGGACAACGUUUCGAAAGGAACGCUAAUACCGCAUACGUCCUACGGGAGAAAGUGGGGGAUCUUCGGACCUCACGCUAUCGGAUGAGCCUAGGUCGGAUUAGCUAGUUGGUGAGGUAAUGGCUCACCAAGGCGACGAUCCGUAACUGGUCUGAGAGGAUGAUCAGUCACACUGGAACUGAGACACGGUCCAGACUCCUACGGGAGGCAGCAGUGGGGAAUAUUGGACAAUGGGCGAAAGCCUGAUCCAGCCAUGCCGCGUGUGUGAAGAAGGUCUUCGGAUUGUAAAGCACUUUAAGUUGGGAGGAAGGGCAGUAAGUUAAUACCUUGCUGUUUUGACGUUACCAACAGAAUAAGCACCGGCUAACUUCGUGCCAGCAGCCGCGGUAAUACGAAGGGUGCAAGCGUUAAUCGGAAUUACUGGGCGUAAAGCGCGCGUAGGUGGUUCAGCAAGUUGGAUGUGAAAGCCCCGGGCUCAACCUGGGAACUGCAUCCAAAACUACUGAGCUAGAGUACGGUAGAGGGUGGUGGAAUUUCCUGUGUAGCGGUGAAAUGCGUAGAUAUAGGAAGGAACACCAGUGGCGAAGGCGACCACCUGGACUGAUACUGACACUGAGGUGCGAAAGCGUGGGGAGCAAACAGGAUUAGAUACCCUGGUAGUCCACGCCGUAAACGAUGUCAACUAGCCGUUGGGAGCCUUGAGCUCUUAGUGGCGCAGCUAACGCAUUAAGUUGACCGCCUGGGGAGUACGGCCGCAAGGUUAAAACUCAAAUGAAUUGACGG
This 912-nucleotide ribosomal RNA is filed under the name uncultured bacterium. RNAcentral's name for it is "bacterial SSU rRNA". It matches the Rfam family "Bacterial small subunit ribosomal RNA", at positions 9 to 916 of the family's 1533-position model. The record is from RNAcentral.